AAGACCUCAAAUCAGGUGGGACUACCUGCUGAACUUAAGCAUAUCAAUAAGCAGAGGAAAAGAAACUAACAAGGAUUCCCCCAGUAACGGCGAGUGAAGAGGGAAAAGUCCAAAUUUGUAAUCAGGCUCCUUUUAUUGGGGGUCUGAGUUGUAAUUUUAAGACCUGUUUUCAGUGCUGGACCAUGUAAAAGUCUGCUUAAAUGCAGCAUCAGAGAAGGUGACAAUCCUGUUUGUGAUGUGGACUCCCAGUGCUUUUAUGAUACAGUGUUCUAAGAGUCA
RNAcentral lists this ribosomal RNA (279 nucleotides) under Racospermyces koae. RNAcentral describes it as "partial 28S ribosomal RNA". It matches the Rfam family "Eukaryotic large subunit ribosomal RNA", at positions 1 to 267 of the family's 3401-position model. Lineage: Eukaryota; Fungi; Basidiomycota; Pucciniomycetes; Pucciniales; Pileolariaceae. The record is from RNAcentral.